UACGUAGGGGGCGAGCGUUGUUCGGAUUUACUGGGCGUAAAGAGCGCGUAGGUGGUUCGAUAAGUCGGAGGUGAAAUCCCUCGGCUCAACCGAGGAUCCGCGUCCGAUACUGUCGGACUUGAGUGCAGGAGAGGAGAGCGGAAUUCCCAGUGUAGCGGUGAAAUGCGUAGAUAUUGGGAGGAACACCGGUGGCGAAGGCGGCUCUCUGGACUGCUACUGACACUGAGGCGCGAAAGCUAGGGGAG
Molecule: ribosomal RNA, 245 nt
Filed under: uncultured Eubacteriales bacterium
Lineage: Bacteria; Bacillati; Bacillota; Clostridia; Eubacteriales
Description: uncultured Clostridiales bacterium partial 16S ribosomal RNA
Rfam family: Bacterial small subunit ribosomal RNA
Source: RNAcentral